UUUUGACAGUGGGUGGUUACCACCCAGCGGCAUCACUACCAAAGAAAGCCAUUGGAUGAAGGCUGUAUCAUCAUAGUACCAGGGGUACUUCACCAGCCACUGAAUCAGCACUCCUUGUGACAAGGAAGUUCCAGCAGGUAAGAAAAUGUUUGCUCUUCCUCAGUCUCUGUGCUCUUCCUCAGUCUCUGACACCUUGAUGCAACUUGAGCUUAUUGUACAAUGUUCAAAGGGAAAUGAAAGAAAAAAACAUCUCUUUCCACAUGUCUGAUUUUUUCAGAAAACUGUAUGAAAAGGAAAUUAUCAAAUCUUGAAUACAUUAAAAAAAUUAACUUCAGUUUAGAAUAGUGUUAGAUUUAAAUAAUUACCAAUACUAGGUGCUAUAUACUCACCCAGUUCCUCUUAUUAACAUCUUCUAUUACUCUGGUAUAUUUGUCUUAACUAAAUAAUGACACUGAUACAUUAUUAACUAGACAUCAUUUUUCCAGAUUGCACUGUUUUUUCCUAAUUUUUUUUAAUAUUUCAAGAUGCCAUUCAGGAUACCACAUUACAUUUAAUAGUCAUGUCUCCUUAUCUUCCACUAGUCUGUGACAAUUUUUUAGACCUUCCAUGUGUCAGUUACCUUGACAGUUUUGAGAAGGACUUGUCAAGUAUUUUAUAGAAUACCUCUCGAUUUGGAUUUCUUAUAUCUUUUUUUUUUUUUUUAAUGAUUGCACUGGCACUACAGAUUUGUUUUGUGUAUCCAUUUUAUUUUAUAGGAAGAUCACAGAUAAAAUGCUAUUCUUACCAUAUUAAUAGUAUAUGCUAUCAACAUGAAUAAUCACUGACAACGCUAAGCUUGAUCACCUGGUUUAGGUUGUAUCCCUCAAAAUUGUGUAGGUGAGCACUAUGCUACUUGGUAAAAAAUUAUUUUAUCUUAUUUAGUUUAUAUUGUACACAAACUAAUAUCAGAAUACUACUUUUUUUUUUUUAUAUAUUUCUGAUUUUAAUGUUGGAAACUAUAAAUACAGAUAGGUAAAAAUUAUAACACCAAGAAUUUAAAAACUUCACACUGAUCCAGUAUAUAGUCCAAGAUUUGUGUUUUUAGUGUUUAUUGGAAUAUGAAUGAAUCAUUGCCCUUUGACCCCAAGGAUUUAAUUUCAGAAUUUUAUUUUCAUACAUCAUCAUCAGAGUAGUGCCCAAUUCUUCUAAACUAUUUAAUUGCUAAAGCUUGGACUUUUGAGUAAUGAAAAGACUGAAAGAAAGUUUGUGUUUCAUGAGCUUAUCAACCCAGAUCAUUGCAUUAACCCAGAUAACAAUAGGGGAUAUGAACAAUGACCAGCCAUCAUAACUAAGAAAUCUGAUAAUAGGAGAAAUAAGUAAAACUUAGAAAGGUGGAGUAUUAAAAGCUUUUAGCUUGUAUAGGGUCUUUCAAAAGCAUUGAUAAAUUGGAUGGUACUAGUCAGAAGAUUUAAAAGGAAUGGGUGUGUUAUCAUUAGAAAGCUAAGUUUAGAAAUAUAUGCUAAAGCCAUAGGUAGAUGACAUAGAUAUAUAAAGAUGAAGGAGCAGGUUACACCCAGAUAAUAACUAAACAAUGGAAGGAUCAUAGAGAAGCAAGAGCUACUAGUGAAGCAAGAACACAUGGGCAUAUGUUACUGCACACAUAUAAUGCAUAUUGUCCAACAUAAGUGUGAAUGAAAAUCUAAUAGGAAUUCUUAUAAAAGCAACACUUCUGGGAGAAAACUAUGCUGAAUGGAGUACAUGUGGAAAACAGUUUUGUUGAUAAACACGUUCUCAAAACAGGCAUAUGCCUCUGAUAGAAGAUAGUAAUGCAAUAGCACAGGUAGAAUGUAAUUAUGUCCCUAUUGAGAUAAACAAGAAUAAGACACUUACUACACUACUCUGGAAUCCAGAAAAGAUUGUUGAUGGCCAGAGUGCAGUAAAUCCAAGAGAAAUAGAUCAGAAACCAGCAAGAACAGUGAGAAAGUUGUUAGCAUAGAAAAUAAGGCAACAAAACACUAAAUAAACAACAUAAAAAAAAAAAGAUUAUAUAUGACUUGUGACCAGACAAGAGAAAGAAAAAAGUUACACAUUGAAAAAUGAACACAAAGUCUAAAAUGACAAUACUGCCACAUUGCCAGAAAAUGUGGUGCACUAACAAUGACAGUUAAACAGGAUUAAAGUGCUGAAGAAGACUCAUAGGACCCAAAAUGACAAUGCUGACAAGUGUGCAAUUUAUUAAGGGAAAGGGACGCAAUAUAGGAUGUCAUUAUUUGCAUCACAGCCAAAGGCUGCUUCAUACCACAAGGUUUGGAUAAUGGCCAGGCAUCAGCUUCCAUUUUCCUCCAUUGCAUGAACACAAUUUCACUGCCAGAAAAGAGCCAUGUGCACAGAAUCACUCAGAAGCUCAAAAUGGAUUUACUGCUGAGGUUUCUUUCCCCUGCCAGAUAUGUAGGCAUAUUCUUGCUAUGUAAUCAGCCCCAAAAGCAGAGGACUCUGAAGGUCUCAGUGAAAACAGGUAUAAAUCAUCAAUCACACUGUUAUUAAUAAACACUGUUGAUAAGUUGUUAAAAUCUGCCUCCAAACAUUUUGGACUGCUGGUUACAAAGAAACAUUGUUAAUAUAUUUCAUUCCUUAAACAACAGAUAAUGAUGUGCAGAUACCUUAGCUCAGGACUAUUCUGGGUCUGCAGGACUUAACCCUCACAGCAAAGUCCACCAUCCUGAUUUUGGGUCAAAGCCUUUUAUAACAAGAGUGAAAACAACAACAACAAAAUUCAUUCUUAGUUUGAUAGCAAUCAUGUAGAUGUGUCUUUCAAUAGCAUAUAAUCAAAUAGAUAAUCAAAACACAUAUACAUAUUUCCAAGAGUUGUAAUAAUCAGGGAGGAUUUGUAUCAUUUAAACCAUCCUAUAAUGCAGCACAAAUUGUCUUAUAUUUUUAUAUUUUUCCCUUUUGUUUGCCUCCCUGAUCUAUAGCUAUCUAUACUUUUUGGUAUACAUCUAUUGAAUAAUUAAGAACCCUAGUCAAUCUGUCAUCACUUAAGUCAUUUAGACUGUAGGCCAAUUCUGUUUCAUAGAAUAGUAUUCUGUGAAAUGAAAACCAUAAGAGACAGACACAUUAGUAUUAUUCCACACAGUCAUUGUCUGAGCUCUGGUCUAUUUGUUGAUUAGGAGUACAUAAAACCAUCCUGGAAGUAUGUUUAUUAAAUUAGCCAUUGUACAGCUCCCUCGUUUUUUUUUUUUAUUAAAAAAUUUUUUUAAUGUUUAUUUUUGAGAGACAGCAUGAGCGGGAGAGGGCACAGAGAGAGAGGGAGACCUAGAAUCCGAAGCAGGCUCCAGGCUCUGAGGUGUCAGCACAGAGCCCAAUGCGCUCGAACCCACGAACCGUGAGAUCAUGACCUGAGCCAAAGUCGGAAGCUCAACUGACUGAGCCACCCAGGUGCCCCAGCUCCCUCGUUUUUUAGAAGAAGAAUUUUGGUAGUCUUUGUCCCAAGGGACAUCUAAAUCUAAGCUAAAAGAGCAUAUCAUUCACUUGUUCUGAACUUUUCAAAAGGCACCAGAGUGAUCUUAGAUUUUCCUCCCUUGUAACACCCAAAGGUUGGCUACUUUCCACUAAGCAACAAUCUCACAUUGUACUCACUUACCAUUAAUUGAAAAAUAAACCUUUCUCCUUGAAGUCAGUGAUGGUAAUGGUAACAAGAUGAGAUGACCAGGCCUUAUUCUUUGGGCCAUUCCCAAUCAUAUAGAGUUGGAUUGGAUAAAUACAGAGAAAUAUAUCUAUUCAACCCACUAGGCAACAAAAUAUUUGCAUAGUCAAGCCCAACUAGGUGAAAUAUAAAGAGAAUUUUGUCCAUCCCAUCAAUAUCUUGGGAAUUCUUGUUAUUAGUCAAAUUAAUACACAUAGUUUCUGGUUUUGGAAUGUUUCUUGCACCUUAAUUUUAGCCCUGUUAGGGCCUUCCAAAUAUGGCAUCUAAAAAAGAAAAUUGUAAAGUAUAGAUGAGUUGUAUGUAAACUUAUUUUUCAUCCCCUAUGAUAUGGACUGAAUGUUUGUGUCCCUACCCACCCUCACCCCACCCCUGAAUCCAUACUUUGAAGGCUUAAUUCCCCAGUGUGGUAGUAUUUGAGAUGUCGAGCAUUUAGGAGGUAAUUAGGUUUAGUUGAGUCAUGAGGAUGCAGCCCCCAUGUUGGCUUAAUGUCCUUAUAAGGGGAAGAGACCAGAGCCCUCACACUUUGCUCCAUGUCAAGAUAUAGCAUGCAAGGAAGCUAUCUGUAAACCAGGAAGAGGACCUUUACCAAGAACCCCCACCAUGCUACCAAUUUGAUCUCAGACUUCCAGCCUCCAAAACUGUGAGAAAUAGAUAUUUGUUAUUUAAGGCACCAUAUGUGUGGUGUUUUGUUAUAGCAGUCUGAAUUAAGACAUCGUAUUCUAUCUUCCCAGUACUACCAAUAAAACAGUGAUUUAACUAAUCAAGACUCAACUUUAAGUCCCUCAUGUUAAAUUGCAAAACAAUGCUGAAGGUUUGUAGAUUAGUGCUUCUAUCUUUUGUUACCCCUGUGUAUUGAAGCAGAUAUUUAAAUUGCUAAUUCUGAUUGUUUAUUAAAUGGUCACUAAAUUAACCACACUUAAUCCAGUAGUCCAGUUAGUAUAUCCUUUUAGUUUGGUAUAUCUUUUAGUUUCACAGGAACUUUCAACCACCAUCUUAUACACUUCCUCCCAAUUUUCACUGUUAUUUUCUGUUUCCAGUUUUGGAUUCAGUUCCUGGAGAGAAACGUCUGCCACAUUCACUCCACUCCACACAGUCACACUUGGGACACCAUGUUCUUCCCAAAUCCAUCCAUGGCAGCUGCUGGGUUGAAUGCCAAGUUUUUUCAGCCAUAAAAUAGCUAAAUCUAACAGAAUCCAGAUUACACCCACUUCCUCUAGGUGACAUAUGUGGGAAUAUCUGCUGGGUUGGAAACCAUAAUUAUGAAUCAAUAAGGGCUGUAUGUGACUAUCUGAGGAAUAAUGAAUUUGAAGACAUUAACAUUCCUCUGCACCGGAUUGAGAUGGCUCUUUCUCUACUGCUGGCGGACUCCUGUAGUUAUCACCACAAUCUUAGAACUGGCAGUCACAGGUAAUCCUUAUCUGUCAUGUCACAACUUCAGGUGUCUGAAGAAAUAAUGUCCCAUGUUGCAGAUCCAUCAUUUCUCCUGAGUUUAUCUUCCAAAAUGCCCACAGGGCAAGCUCAUCAUCCUGAGGCUUUCCCAACAUACUGAUGGCACACACUGUACCAACAUCCACUACAGUGAUCUUAUUGUUUGAGACGGUUGCCUCUUCUACAACUGGUGUAAUCAGUUUUUCCUUAAGAGUUGCCAUUGUAUCCAGGAAAGAAAUGUCUGUAAAAGUCUUGUGAAGGAGACAAUGUCAGAUUCUGGCACUCUUUUCUCAGACUCAUAGCCUUAAGAACUAUGAAGAAUAAAUGUUUUUUUUAAGCCAUCUAAUCUAUAAUUUAUUAUAGCAGCCUGAACUAAGGGCCCAUCCAUAUAACCUCAUUUUCCUUAAUUACCUCUUUUAAGGCCAUGUUUCUAAAUACAGUGGCAUUCUGAAAUACUGAGAGCUAGGAUUUCAACAUAUGAAUUUAGAGGGGCUACACUUCCCUCCGUAAUAUAGAUGAAUCUUAAAAACACACUUAGUGAGAUAAGCCAGAGACAAAAUAAUAAAAAUUGUAUGAUUUCACCUAUAUAAGGUACCUACAAUAGUCAAAUUUAUAGAGACAGAAAGUAGAAUAUUGGUUACCAGAAGGUGGAGAAAGAGAGGAAUGGAGAGUCAUUUUUUAAUGCGUACAAAAUUUCAAUUUGGGAUGAUGACAAAGUUCUGAAGAUUGGAUGUUGUGGCAGUUGCACACCAAUGUGAAUGUACAUAAUGCCAUUGAGUUUCAUAUUUUAAAUUAUUGAAAUGGUAAAUUUUAUGCUGUGUAUUUUACCACAAUAAAAAAUGGUAGAAAUAAAACAUACAGUAAUGGAAAUAAGGGAUGCCUUUAAUGUGCUCAUUAGUGUACUCAUUAUAGCCAAGAAAAGAACAAAAAGAAUCAGUGAACUUCAAGGUAUGUCAAUACUUCAAAGAAGGAAAGUGUGAAAUUAAAAUUAAAACUUUAAUGUUUUUACUUUUAAUUGAUCUAAAACAUGUUUUUAAAAGCAAUAACUAUCACAAUGUGUUGGGUGAUUAUAGGAUAUAGGUAAGUAAAAUGAAUGACAGGAAUGUCACAGGGACAUAGGGAGAACUAGGGAAUACUCUUAUAAGGUAUCUAUGAUACAUGUGAAGUCAUAUAGUGAUAUUUAAAAGUAGACUUAGAAUACAUUUUAAGCUGUAGGGCAACCAUUAAGAAACUAAGAUAAAUAUAAUUUUUCUUCAUAUAUUUUCCCUCUGCUAUAGUGGGUUGUAAUUGACAAAAUUGUAUACAUUUAAAGGGUACAAUGUGAUCAUUUGAUAUAUGUAUACCUUGUGAAAUUAUCACAAUCACAUUAAUAACUCAUCUAUCACUUCACAUAGUUUUGUGUGUGUGUGUGUGUGUAUGAGAACUCUUAAGAUUUACUCUCUUUUCUUAUACUUAAUUUGUUGAGUUAGGUGGGGAAUGGGCUAGAUGGGUGAUGGAUAUUA
This 6612-nucleotide long non-coding RNA is filed under the name Lynx pardinus (Iberian lynx). Lineage: Eukaryota; Metazoa; Chordata; Mammalia; Carnivora; Felidae. The record is from RNAcentral.